UUUUUCAAUAAUUUUUUACCCUUACCCCCCACCAGCUCUCCCGCACCAAAAACAAGGCGAAAAAAAAAAUAAUAGAAUAAAACAGGCUGUGUGUUUGUGUGACUUCCCCAAAAUUCCGUCUCGCACCAUACAUACACAUGGAAAGAGCACCAACUCCAGCAACAAAGAGGCAAGUACUGUUCUUUUCUCUCCGUCAACUCUCCCUCCAUCCCUCCUUUAAUAUCAUUCUCAGGUAGCUUAUUUUGUUCUCUGCAUUGGUUUUAGUUUUGUAGCUGGGAAUAUUUUACUCAUUUUCUUUGGAGAAUUUUGCUUAGCGUAAGCCCUGCUUGAAUUUUUUUUUUGAGGAAAUUUUUGCCUUGAAAUGGAUGGGAGGAAGAGGAAUUUUUUUAAGAAACAGAUGAACACGCCCUUUAAAAGAAAAGGGGUCAAUAAUAAUAGGAAACCGAAAUGGGUUACUAAUUCUGGCCAUGAACAGUCUUCCGGGAAUUCUAAUCCUGGAGACACUGUUUAUCGUGUACUUUGUCCUUCCAGAAAAAUUGGUGGUGUCAUUGGGAAGGGUGGGAAUAUAGUAAAAGCAUUAAGGGAGGAGACCCAGGCUAAGAUUACGGUUAGUGAUUCAGUUCUUGGUUGCGAUGAGAGAGUUAUUAUUAUUUUUAGUUCACCCAUGAAGGUGAAAAAACAUAAUUUUGAUGAGGAUUCGGGUGCUGAGAAUGAAAAAGAGGUGGUGCUAGAGAUGGAGCCUUGCUGUGCUGCACAGGAUGCUCUGUUGAAAGUUCAUGAUAGGAUUGUUGAGGAAGAUCUUUUUGGUGGGAUGGCAUCGGAUGAUGAUAAUGGGAAUACUGUUGUCACUGCACGGCUUCUUGUUCCGAAUAAUAUGGUAGGAUGCCUCUUAGGGAGACGGGGUGAUGUGAUUCAAGGGUUGCGAAGUGGCACAGGUGCUAGUAUCCGUGUUCUUCCGGCUGAUCAUCUUCCUGCUUGUGCAAUGGCAACUGAUGAAUUAGUGCAGAUAUCAGGAAAGCAAGAUGUUGCAAAGAGGGCUCUCUAUGAAGUUUCCACACUCUUGCAUCAGAAUCCACGAAAAGACAACCCUCCUUUGAGCUUCCCUGUGCCUCAUGCUGGCCAGAAUUUUCCUCCGAAUGCUGUUCCACUCAACAAUUCAAUGCGGUCUCAGCGGAAUUCUUCUCCCCGUGAUAUUCAACCAAUGCCAUGGAUGGGCCACCAUGGAAACCGGCCAUCUGGAUUUGUGCCAGGUAGCUUCAGCAGCAUUCCUCCAGCACGUGGUGCUGAAGCUUCAGCUGAAUUUUCGAUGAAAAUUUUGUGCCUAGCUGGAAAGAUUGGUGGUGUAAUUGGCAAGGGUGGCUUUAAUGUUAAACAGUUACAGCAGGAAACAGGAGCAGGCAUUCAUGUUGAGGAUGCAUCAACGGAGUCCGAUGAGCGUGUGAUUCGUGUCUCAGCAAUUGAGGCUCUUUGGAACCCUCGAUCACAAACAAUAGAUGCCAUUCUACAGCUUCAGAAUAAAACUAGUGAAUUGUCUGAGAAAGGUACAAUUACUACUAGGUUGCUUGUUCCAUCAAGUAAGGUUGGCUGCAUUCUUGGGCAAGGAGGUCAUGUAAUCAAUGAGAUGAGGAGGAGAACCCAGGCAGAUAUUCGUGUUUACUCGAAGGAUGAUAAGCCUAAGUGUGCAUCUGAUGAUGAAGAGCUAGUACAGAUAUCUGGCAAUUUUGGCGUUGCUAAGGAUGCUUUGGCCGAGAUUGCUUCGAGACUUAGAGUAAGAACUUUGCGAGAUGUGAAUGCUGGAGCAGAACCUGCUUCUGUUGGGCCUGUCCAUGGAUUUGGUCCUGCAAGGAGCAUGCCGGGUGGUCUACCACCAGUUGCUGCAAUAGGACCUGGCCGCUCUAGUGGAAAUGAACCUUUCAGGGGUGGUGGACGUGAAUAUGAACCUCAGAAUUAUUCUGUUCCUCCAGCUGCUUCUAGAUACUCAAAUAUGAACAGUGCUUUAGAGGCUAAAGUUUCUAAAAAUGUGUCAACUUCUGUAAUAGGCAUCGGAGGAAGCACUAUUUUCAAUGGUAGUGAGGCUUCAGGUGCAAGAGUAAAGCUUGAUGAUCCUCUAACCGGUGGCUCUGAAGAGUUCUGUGGAUCUUCUGAGCGUCUAUCUGCCACUCAAAGCAAUUUUCACUCAUUCAUGGCUUCUUCUGGACAAAGCAUGCUUGCACAACCAAGGUCAUAUCAGAAUUCAAACAUUCAGCAAAGUUCAUAUCAGAACAUGAAUACUCAAUAUAGCCCCUACCAAAAUGUGAAUGCUCCACAGAGCCCCUAUCAAAACAGCAUUAAUUGAGUGGUGUGGAUUGGGGUGGAAACACAAGCUGCAACGCUCUCUCAUGGUAGAGUGGUGAGCUAGAGCUAGAGCUAUGUUUUGCACGGGAGAGCCUUGCUUCCUUGUUGAAGGAGCUGGGUUGCACUCAAUCUUCUCACAUGGACUCAGCUUGUCAUUUCAAUUAAAUAUGCAAGGGUCUUGGAUUUGUUACAGGAAGCAUCACCAUCCCAUGUUGUCUGAAGUGCACUAGAAAAUCAGUGAACUCUGUGUAGUUGUGUUGGAUUGCACUUCAUCAAAUUCAAACUUCAGAUGCCUGUUUACUGUAAUUAACCGGGCUGGUGAUUCUUGGACCAGCAUUUCACUCAAAUGAUUCUGAUUCUAGUUAUGGGUAAAUUCUGAAACCCCUAACUUUGGGCUCUUAGUUGCAUGCUUAAUUUGGUAUUUUCUCCAAUGUUCUUAGUUGCAUGCUUGAUGAAAACAUACGAGGCUUAAAAGGCAAAUGCAAAACCUUAAUGAGUCUGCUCUUGAGGGCUCGAAGGGUAUUUUAUAGCAGUUUUAGGGCAUUCGAUAACAUUAAUGUUUUUUUUAAUUUUCUCUUCAUGCAACUGUGAUGAUUUUCAAUAUAUUCAAGAGAGUUUAAAGUCAAAUCCUUGAAUGGUUAAGCCAUCGGAGGGAAAAAUCUUUGGGAAGAAACAUUCUCAUUGCUCAUAUUUCAUACCUAUCAAUUGAUAAAAUAAAACAACUACGUUAUCUAUCG
Molecule: non-coding RNA, 3071 nt
Organism: Durio zibethinus
Lineage: Eukaryota; Viridiplantae; Streptophyta; Magnoliopsida; Malvales; Malvaceae
Source: RefSeq, a predicted model, not a curated record